CAGUAGCCACGGUAAUACGUAGGUGGCAAGCGUUGUCCGGAAUUAUUGGGCGUAAAGGGCUCGCAGGCGGUUUCUUAAGUCUGAUGUGAAAGCCCCCGGCUCAACCGGGGAGGGUCAUUGGAAACUGGGAAACUUGAGUGCAGAAGAGGAGAGUGGAAUUCCACGUGUAGCGGUGAAAUGCGUGGAGAUGUGGAGGAACACCAGUGGCGAAGGCGACUCUCUGGUCUGUAACUGACGCUGAGGAGCGAAAGCGUGGGGAGCGAACAGGAUUAGAUACCCCUGUAGUCCCUGUCUCUUAUAC
RNAcentral lists this ribosomal RNA (301 nucleotides) under uncultured bacterium. RNAcentral describes it as "partial 16S ribosomal RNA". It matches the Rfam family "Bacterial small subunit ribosomal RNA", at positions 509 to 807 of the family's 1533-position model. The record is from RNAcentral.